RNAcentral lists this ribosomal RNA (460 nucleotides) under uncultured bacterium. Its description in RNAcentral is "partial 16S ribosomal RNA". It matches the Rfam family "Bacterial small subunit ribosomal RNA", at positions 338 to 795 of the family's 1533-position model. The record is from RNAcentral.
CCUACGGGAGGCAGCAGUGAGGAAUAUUGGUCAAUGGACGGAAGUCUGAACCAGCCAUGCCGCGUGCAGGAAGACGGCUCUAUGAGUUGUAAACUGCUUUUGUACAAGGGUAAACCUGAAUACGUGUAUUCAGCUGAAAGUACUGUACGAAUAAGGAUCGGCUAACUCCGUGCCAGCAGCCGCGGUAAUACGGAGGAUCCAAGCGUUAUCCGGAUUUAUUGGGUUUAAAGGGUGCGUAGGCGGAUUGAUAAGUUAGAGGUGAAAUGUUCGAGCUUAACUCGGGAACUGCCUCUAAUACUGUUGGUCUAGAGAGUAGAUGCGGUAGGCGGAAUGUAUGGUGUAGCGGUGAAAUGCUUAGAGAUCAUACAGAACACCGAUUGCGAAGGCAGCUUACCAAUCUAUAACUGACGUUGAGGCACGAAAGCGUGGGGAGCAAACAGGAUUAGAUACCCUAGUAGUC